UCCGAGUACUUCAGAAGCUGCUUAAUCCGUUGUACAACCAAAACAGGGUCGAAAUGGACGUUUCGAAAAUCAAAUCAUUCCUGGGCUUCCAAAUGGUCCACCAGCAAGCGACCAAUUCAGAUAAGUUAUUUUGCUUAUUAUGCAUCCCUUUUUUGGCCAACCACCUAUCUCAGAUGUAACGUACGUCUUCUUCCAUCUCACCAGCCUGAACUCCUUCUCGAAUCAUCACCAAACUUCCUCUCGAAUCAUCCCAUCUUCCCUUCAAUUGAAGUUACUACUUAAAUA
This 285-nucleotide long non-coding RNA is filed under the name Ananas comosus (pineapple). RNAcentral's name for it is "long non-coding RNA (ACOM_LNC006007)". Lineage: Eukaryota; Viridiplantae; Streptophyta; Magnoliopsida; Poales; Bromeliaceae. The record is from RNAcentral.